This 76-nucleotide transfer RNA is filed under the name Rhodospirillaceae bacterium. RNAcentral describes it as "tRNA-Lys". It matches the Rfam family "tRNA". Rfam says of the family: Transfer RNA (tRNA) molecules are approximately 80 nucleotides in length. Their secondary structure includes four short double-helical elements and three loops (D, anti-codon, and T loops). Further hydrogen bonds mediate the characteristic L-shaped molecular structure. tRNAs have two regions of fundamental functional importance: the anti-codon, which is responsible for specific mRNA codon recognition, and the 3' end, to which the tRNAs corresponding amino acid is attached (by aminoacyl-tRNA synthetases). tRNAs cope with the degeneracy of the genetic code in two manners: having more than one tRNA (with a specific anti-codon) for a particular amino acid; and 'wobble' base-pairing, i.e. permitting non-standard base-pairing at the 3rd anti-codon position. Lineage: Bacteria; Pseudomonadati; Pseudomonadota; Alphaproteobacteria; Rhodospirillales; Rhodospirillaceae. RNAcentral also lists the same sequence under 1 other name. The record is from RNAcentral.
GAGCCCAUAGCUCAGGUGGUAGAGCAGCUGACUUUUAAUCAGCGGGUCGCAGGUUCGAGUCCUGCUGGGCUCACCA